RNAcentral lists this ribosomal RNA (407 nucleotides) under Verrucomicrobiota bacterium. RNAcentral's name for it is "Verrucomicrobia bacterium partial 16S ribosomal RNA". It matches the Rfam family "Bacterial small subunit ribosomal RNA", at positions 355 to 776 of the family's 1533-position model. The record is from RNAcentral. Lineage: Bacteria; Pseudomonadati; Verrucomicrobiota.
UGGGGAAUAUUGGACAAUGGAGGAAACUCUGAUCCAGCAAUUCUGUGUGUGUGAAGAAGGUUUUAGGACUGUAAAACACUUUUAGUAGGGAAGAAAAAAAUGACGGUACCUACAGAAGAAGCAACGGCUAAAUACGUGCCAGCCGCCGCGGUAAUACGUAUGUUGCGAGCGUUAUCCGGAAUUAUUGGGCUUAAAGGGCAUCUAGGCGGUAAGACAAGUUGAAGGUGAAAACCUGUGGCUCAACCAUAGGCUUGCCUACAAAACUGUUGAACUAGAGUACUGGAAAGGUGGGUGGAACUACACGAGUAGAGGUGAAAUUCGUAGAUAUGUGUAGGAAUGCCGAUGAUGAAGAUAACUCACUGGACAGAAACUGACGCUGAAGUGCGAAAGCUAGGGGAGCAAACAGG